This 258-nucleotide ribosomal RNA is filed under the name uncultured bacterium. RNAcentral's name for it is "partial 16S ribosomal RNA". It matches the Rfam family "Bacterial small subunit ribosomal RNA", at positions 524 to 778 of the family's 1533-position model. The record is from RNAcentral.
GACAGAGGAUGCAAGCGUUAUCCGGAAUGAUUGGGCGUAAAGCGUCUGUAGGUGGCUUUUUAAGUCCGCCGUCAAAUCCCAGGGCUCAACCCUGGACAGGCGGUGGAAACUACCAAGCUGGAGUACGGUAGGGGCAGAGGGAAUUUCCGGUGGAGCGGUGAAAUGCGUAGAGAUCGGAAAGAACACCAACGGCGAAAAGCAACUCUGCUGGGCCGACACUGACAUGAGAGACGAAAAGCUAGGGGGAGCGAAAUGGGG